UACCCUUUCUAUUAACGUCUCUCACGGGUCCUCUCCCUCCUUUUCCUCACCUUUCCCCUGCCUCUUCACCCCUCUCUGUUUAUCCUCUUCCUACUUUCCUUUCUUACAUAUAGACUCCCCUUCCACGAGAACACAAAACAUUCUCCAUGUUUUUGGAUUCUCAAUCUGAAUUAAGAUCCAGACUUCUGUUAUAUCGACCAUCAGAACCAUAAACAACACUUGUUAUGUUCUUCUUCACUUGCUUCUGCUGUCUUCUCAUCCUAGAGUUUUUCUCUACUUUUCUUGUACGCGGGUUUCAUGCCUGUAAGAUAGUUAUUGGUCACGAGAUUCUUCGAUCUCCUCUAAUGUCUUCCCAAGUUUGCUAAUGUGCGGGGGCAAUUCUUUUAGCAAUAUUUUGUUUGACUAGUUAACAUACAGGGUCCGGUGUUCAUGCUCUGCAUCCACGAGUGAGAAAGGAUAAAAGUUCCGCUCUUGCCCUUUUCAUAUUCCAACAAUCCGAUACUUGUGAACCAAGCAGAACUCGGUUCCGUUGUCAGACAAGCCACAGCAACAGAGAGAAGAACAUGGAAGAGAGUUUGCUACCAAGAGAGGUUGACGAGAAAGGGCAGGGUAUUAUUGGUCCAACUCCAACCCCAACAUGGGGUGUAUUCAUUCAAGAAGUGAAAAGACUUGGUUACAUAGCGGGACCUAUGGUGGCUGUGAUUCUAACACAGUACUCCUUGCAAGUUAUAUCCAUGAUGAUGGUUGGUCACCUUGGUGAGCUUGCCCUCUCUAGUGCCGCCAUGGCUCUCUCUCUUUCCGGUGUCACCGGUUUCAGUCUCAUGAUGGGGAUGGCAAGUGCAUUGGAAACUCUAUGCGGGCAGGCUUAUGGAGCUAAGCAAUAUAAAAAACUUGGAACUCAAACUUAUACAGCAAUUUUCUGCCUAAACUUAGUCUGUAUCCCUCUAUCUGUCAUAUGGAUCUACAUGGGAAAGAUACUCCAUUUCACUGGUCAAGAUCCAGCAAUUUCGCAUGAAGCCGGAAAAUUUAUAGUGUGGCUUGUUCCUGCACUCUUUGCUUAUGCAACUCUUCAGCCACUUGUUAGAUAUUUUCAGACACAAAGUUUUAUCAUGCCCAUGCUGAUUAGCUCUUGUGCCACUCUUUGUUUCCAUAUACCUCUCUGCUGGGCCUUAGUAUACAAGUCUGGGCUAAAAAAUGUGGGAUCUGCGGUAGCAAUGGGUAUUUCAUAUUGGUUGAAUGUAAUCUUUCUUGGAUUAUACAUAAAGUACUCUUCCGCCUGUGCAAAAACUCGUGUUCCAAUUUACAAGGAGUUAUUCUACGGGGUCGGAGAGUUUUUCCGCUUCGCCAUCCCAUCUGCAGUAAUGAUCUGCCUUGAGUGGUGGUCAUUUGAGCUGCUUAUCUUGCUCUCAGGGUUCUUACCAAAUCCACAGCUUGAAACUUCAGUCCUAUCCGUGUGUCUCAUGACUAUUUCAACACUUUAUGGAAUACCAUUUGGACUUGGUGCCGCAGCAAGCACUAGAGUCGCAAAUGAACUAGGAGCUGGGAACCCACGAGCGGCGCGUUUAGCUGUCUAUGCUGCGAUGUUUCUUGCAGUUUCAGAGACAAUUAUAGUAACUUCAGCCCUUUUUGCCAGCAGGCGUGUUUUUGGCUAUCUUUUCAGCAAUGAAAAGGAAGUAAUUGAUUAUGUCACAACGAUGGCCCCUCUGGUUUGUCUGUCGGUUAUAAUGGACAGCUUACAAGGAGUACUUUCAGGGGUUGCAAGAGGGUGUGGAUGGCAGCAUAUAGGGGCUUAUAUAAAUCUCGGAGCCUUCUAUCUUUGUGGGAUUCCAGCUGCUGCCUUGUUGGCUUUCUGGUUAAAUUUAGGAGGCAUGGGCCUUUGGAUUGGAAUUCAAACCGGUGCCUUCACUCAAACAAUUUUACUCUCUAUUGUCACGAGCUGCACAAAUUGGGAAAAACAGGCAAGAAUGGCAAGGGAGAGGAUUUUUGAAGGUCAUGACAAUGGAUUAAUGUGAUUCGAGAGAUAUGACCAGUGAUCUAGUUUUGCUAUGUAUUAGAGAUUGUAAAAGGGAAAGUCUGAUUAAGCUGAUGAGAUCCCAUGUCAAAAUCCUAUCGGCGUUCCGAGGAGGAGAAACUCUGAGGUUACUCAUUUGUUCUUUGGGUAGUGUGUGUGUACAUCUACAUAUAUCGUAUUUUAAUCCUCUACGUUUUCACCGUAGAAUACUUUGUACAUCGAGCAAAUCAGCUUUAAGACUCGAGGCAAAUCUUCAAGGUAGUAUUUUGUGCAAUUGCGUGGGACGAGAUUGCUCUUAAUCUUUGCCUAAUUUCGUUUUUAAGUUUUAAGUUGGAAAUGAUUUGGUGCUA
This is an RNA transcript of Populus trichocarpa (black cottonwood), 2361 nucleotides long. It is a transcript of the gene named protein DETOXIFICATION 12, with no coding region annotated. The record is from RefSeq and is a predicted model, not a curated record. NCBI's taxonomy places the organism in Eukaryota, Viridiplantae, Streptophyta, Magnoliopsida, Malpighiales, Salicaceae. The transcript is spliced from 9 exons.